RNAcentral lists this ribosomal RNA (1464 nucleotides) under Shigella boydii. RNAcentral describes it as "bacterial SSU rRNA". It matches the Rfam family "Bacterial small subunit ribosomal RNA". The record is from RNAcentral. Lineage: Bacteria; Pseudomonadati; Pseudomonadota; Gammaproteobacteria; Enterobacterales; Enterobacteriaceae.
UUCGCUGACGAGUGGCGGACGGGUGAGUAAUGUCUGGGAAACUGCCUGAUGGAGGGGGAUAACUACUGGAAACGGUAGCUAAUACCGCAUAAUGUCGCAAGACCAAAGAGGGGGACCUUCGGGCCUCUUGCCAUCGGAUGUGCCCAGAUGGGAUUAGCUUGUUGGUGGGGUAACGGCUCACCAAGGCGACGAUCCCUAGCUGGUCUGAGAGGAUGACCAGCCACACUGGAACUGAGACACGGUCCAGACUCCUACGGGAGGCAGCAGUGGGGAAUAUUGCACAAUGGGCGCAAGCCUGAUGCAGCCAUGCCGCGUGUAUGAAGAAGGCCUUCGGGUUGUAAAGUACUUUCAGCGGGGAGGAAGGGAGUAAAGUUAAUACCUUUGCUCAUUGACGUUAUCCGCAGAAGAAGCACCGGCUAACUCCGUGCCAGCAGCCGCGGUAAUACGGAGGGUGCAAGCGUUAAUCGGAAUUACUGGGCGUAAAGCGCACGCAGGCGGUUUGUUAAGUCAGAUGUGAAAUCCCCGGGCUCAACCUGGGAACUGCAUCUGAUACUGGCAAGCUUGAGUCUCGUAGAGGGGGGUAGAAUUCCAGGUGUAGCGGUGAAAUGCGUAGAGAUCUGGAGGAAUACCGGUGGCGAAGGCGGCCCCCUGGACGAAGACUGACGCUCAGGUGCGAAAGCGUGGGGAGCAAACAGGAUUAGAUACCCUGGUAGUCCACGCCGUAAACGAUGUCGACUUGGAGGUUGUGCCCUUGAGGCGUGGCUUCCGGAGCUAACGCGUUAAGUCGACCGCCUGGGGAGUACGGCCGCAAGGUUAAAACUCAAAUGAAUUGACGGGGGCCCGCACAAGCGGUGGAGCAUGUGGUUUAAUUCGAUGCAACGCGAAGAACCUUACCUGGUCUUGACAUCCACGGAAGUUUUCAGAGAUGAGAAUGUGCCUUCGGGAACCGUGAGACAGGUGCUGCAUGGCUGUCGUCAGCUCGUGUUGUGAAAUGUUGGGUUAAGUCCCGCAACGAGCGCAACCCUUAUCCUUUGUUGCCAGCGGUCCGGCCGGGAACUCAAAGGAGACUGCCAGUGAUAAACUGGAGGAAGGUGGGGACGACGUCAAGUCAUCAUGGCCCUUACGACCAGGGCUACACACGUGCUACAAUGGCGCAUACAAAGAGAAGCGACCUCGCGAGAGCAAGCGGACCUCAUAAAGUGCGUCGUAGUCCGGAUUGGAGUCUGCAACUCGACUCCAUGAAGUCGGAAUCGCUAGUAAUCGUGGAUCAGAAUGCCACGGUGAAUACGUUCCCGGGCCUUGUACACACCGCCCGUCACACCAUGGGAGUGGGUUGCAAAAGAAGUAGGUAGCUUAACCUUCGGGAGGGCGCUUACCACUUUGUGAUUCAUGACUGGGGUGAAGUCGUAACAAGGUAACCGUAGGGGAACCUGCGGUUGGAUCACCUCCUUACCUUAAAGAAGC